Molecule: ribosomal RNA, 253 nt
Filed under: uncultured Mycobacterium sp.
Lineage: Bacteria; Bacillati; Actinomycetota; Actinomycetes; Mycobacteriales; Mycobacteriaceae
Description: partial 16S ribosomal RNA
Rfam family: Bacterial small subunit ribosomal RNA
Source: RNAcentral
UACGUAGGGUCCGAGCGUUGUCCGGAAUUACUGGGCGUAAAGAGCUCGUAGGUGGUUUGUCGCGUUGUCCGUGAAAUCCCACGGCUUAACUGUGGGCGUGCGGGCGAUACGGGCAGACUGGAGUACUGCAGGGGAGACUGGAAUUCCUGGUGUAGCGGUGGAAUGCGCAGAUAUCAGGAGGAACACCGGUGGCGAAGGCGGGUCUCUGGGCAGUAACUGACGCUGAGGAGCGAAAGCGUGGGGAGCGAACAGG